GACAUGGGAGGAUCGAGGGAAGAGUCCAUGGAAGGCUCGGGGCUGAGAGCUGCGGAAGAGAGUACAGGCAGAGACUGAGGAAUGACCUCCGUGGUCGGGAGCAUAGGCAAAGACUGGGGAGAAGGUGUCCUUUUCUUUCUUCUCCAGCCAGAAGGAAGCGUGUUUACAGGGACUGUCGAGGCUACAGGCACUGGGACGGUCUAGGCUACAGGCACGGGCUCAUUAACAGUGGCAGGCAUGGGCACAGGUUGUGGCCCGGGGUUCCCGCCAUAAUUCACAGCAUAUGGGGGAAACGCAGCCUCCGUGGUCACUACCGCUGAGUGCGGCAGGGAAUCGACCACCGGAACCAGGGGAGGAUGAGCCCCCUCCCCCAAAAAAUUUUUUAGGGGAAUUGUAUGGAGAGUUACCUUGGAGACAGGGGCCGUGGAAGGCACAAAGUCAACUUCUGUAUUAAACAUGAGAGUGAAGGGUAAUGGAUAUUCAGGGUGGCUAGGAUGUAAUUUGCCAAGGGUAGAUCUUCCACCUCCGGAAGUGCUGUGGGUCUGUGAAAGUUUAAUCCCAUUCCAUAAAUGGGCUUGAGGUACAUAUCUGGUAUUGAUGUCAAAGCAGUGAGGUGAAGGAACUCUGUUGUGUAUUACAAGAGGGGAAGAUCCUGCCUGAACAGCUCCAAGAAUAACUCUGUUGGCUCCAUGCUCAGUGAUGUGCUCAUCGAGGGAAGGCUUUGUAGGAGAAGAGGAUUAGUGGGGUCGCUGGUGUAGAGGAAGAUGUUUGGAAGAGCAGAGCUGACAUGUGAAACCAUGGGAGACUGACUUUGAUGACCUAGUAAGCCAGUUAUCCACAAAUGAUCCAAAAAGCAAUAAGGGAGAUUGCUUGUCACCAGGCACAUCCGCAUGGUGUUGCCUAGCAGUGGUCAUGAGUAGAGGGAACUGCUGAAAUGUUGCCAGGGAUUAACCCGAUUCCUGAUGGUGAACAUACCCCAUGUCCACAAUGUCCGAACCCUUGUAAUUGUAGGAAGGAGAAGUUUAGGUGUUGGGCUAGCCUACAGGUGUAAGGUUGGUUUGGGAUUUAUACAGACUGGUCAAUGUAUUUGGACAAUGACACAAUUUUUGGUUAUUUUGGCUCUGUCUUUCAGCAUAUUGGAUUUUAAAUAAAACAAUGAUUAGGAGUUUAAAAUGCAGACUUUCAGGUUUAGUAUGAGGGUAUUAUUUGGUCAUCAAAUUCAAAGAAUCUGCAACCAAGUACUAAAUAUGAUCAUUAUAUUUAGGUUUAUAGGAACUUGUACAAUACCUUUUGGUCCUCUGAAAAAUGGCAGUCUGUCAAAUGGCUACAAUUACUACAUGGUUCACUUGAUACAUCUGAAAAUACCCACAAAUUUAAGAUGAGAGUUUGCACUUGAAGUCCAUAGUCAUUAUAUAAUUUCAGAUUCAAUGUACUGGACAGA
This is a long non-coding RNA of Myxocyprinus asiaticus (Chinese sucker), 1441 nucleotides long. RefSeq lists it as uncharacterized. The transcript has 3 exons. NCBI's taxonomy places the organism in Eukaryota, Metazoa, Chordata, Actinopteri, Cypriniformes, Catostomidae. The record is from RefSeq and is a predicted model, not a curated record.